AGGACCGCCUUGGAGGAGGAGAGAGAGAAGGCUGAGGUCGAAAUCUCCAGACUGAGGGCGCAGGUUUUCGAAUUGAAGGCGCAGGUUUUCGAGCUGAAGGUGCAGAUUUUCGAGCUGAAGGUGCGGAUUUUCGAGCUGAAGGUGCGGAUUUCGUCUCUGAUUUCGGAGACAGGGGCCCGAGCGGUGGAGGAGUUCAAAGCCUCCUCCGAGAUGGAGGAUCUAAAGGUCCAGUUCGGCCAGGAUGCCUUCAUCAAGAAUUUCGAACUCUGUCAAGAGAAG
This 279-nucleotide long non-coding RNA is filed under the name Elaeis guineensis (African oil palm). RNAcentral's name for it is "long non-coding RNA (EGUI_LNC075507)". The record is from RNAcentral. Lineage: Eukaryota; Viridiplantae; Streptophyta; Magnoliopsida; Arecales; Arecaceae.